This 253-nucleotide ribosomal RNA is filed under the name uncultured bacterium. RNAcentral describes it as "partial 16S ribosomal RNA". It matches the Rfam family "Bacterial small subunit ribosomal RNA", at positions 524 to 776 of the family's 1533-position model. The record is from RNAcentral.
UACGUAGGGACCGAGCGUUGUCCGGAUUCAUUGGGCGUAAAGAGCUCGUAGGCGGCUGCUCAAGUCGAAUGUGAAAACUCGAGGCUCAACCUCGAGCCUGCAUUCGAUACUGGGCGGCUAGAGUCUGGUAGGGGGAUCUGGAAUUCCUGGUGUAGCGGUGGAAUGCGCAGAUAUCAGGAGGAACACCAAUUGCGAAGGCAGCUCGCUGGGACGUUACUGACGCUGAGACGCGAAAGCGUGGGGAGCAAACAGG